Molecule: ribosomal RNA, 594 nt
Filed under: Steinernema sp. TT-2011
Lineage: Eukaryota; Metazoa; Nematoda; Chromadorea; Rhabditida; Steinernematidae
Description: eukaryotic LSU rRNA
Rfam family: Eukaryotic large subunit ribosomal RNA
Source: RNAcentral
GAAAGUUGCAAAGAACUUUGAAGAGAGAGUUCAAGAGGACGUGAAACCGAUAGGAUGGAAGCAGAUGAAGUUGACGAACAGGUGCCGUAUUCAGGGCUGCGCCUCGUGUGCAGUCUGUUUUUGCGGCCGAUGUGGGCCGGCGGCCUUGGUCAAUGCACUGUGUCAAGCGGCGAUGGAGACCCUGCGGAGGGAUCAUCAGUCGUCGUGCGAUGCGUGGUAUGGCUAAGUGCUUCGCCGGUCUUGAAGUCAGCGCCUCAUCUGACCCGUCUUGAAACACGGACCAAGGAGUGUAUCGUUUACGCAAGUCUUAGAGUGUAUCAAAACUUUGAGGCGAAACGAAAGUGAAUGCAGUUUAAUCUGCUGACUUGGGAUGCGUUGUCUUUUGUGGACGGCGCUGGACCAUGGUUAUAUCGCGAUCGCUUGCGAUGCGGUGUAAAUAGAGCGUAAACGGUGCGACCCGAAAGAUGGUGAACUAUGCCUGAGCAGGAUGAAGCCGGAGGAAACUCUGGUGGAAGUCCGAAGCGGUUCUGACGUGCAAAUCGAUCGUCUGACUUGGGUAUAGGGGCGAAAGACUAAUCGAACCAUCUAGUAGUG